This 200-nucleotide unclassified non-coding RNA is filed under the name soil metagenome. RNAcentral's name for it is "partial contains internal transcribed spacer 2 and large subunit ribosomal RNA". The record is from RNAcentral.
CGAGCGUCAUUUCAACCCUCAAGCCCUGCUUGGUCAUGGACCAUACCCUCUUGGGGGUCGGUCUCAAACUCAUUGGCGGUGCCCAAUGGACCCCGAGCGUAGUAAUUAUAUCCUCGCUUCUGGUGUCCAUGGCGGCCCUUGCCAAACAACAAAUUUUACUGGUUGACCUCGGAUCAGGUAGGGAUACCCGCUGAACUUAA